Molecule: ribosomal RNA, 253 nt
Filed under: uncultured bacterium
Lineage: Bacteria
Description: partial 16S ribosomal RNA
Rfam family: Bacterial small subunit ribosomal RNA
Source: RNAcentral
UACAGAGGUCUCAAGCGUUGUUCGGAUUCCUUGGGCGUAAAGGGUGCGUAGGCGGCGCGGUAAGUCGGGUGUGAAAUUUCGAGGCUUAACUUCGAAACUGCAUUCGAUACUGCCGUGCUUGAGGACUGGAGAGGAGACUGGAAUUUACGGUGUAGCGGUGAAAUGCGUAGAUAUCGUAAGGAAGACCAGUGGCGAAGGCGGGUCUCUGGACAGUUCCUGACGCUGAGGCACGAAGGCCAGGGGAGCAAACGGG